RNAcentral lists this ribosomal RNA (266 nucleotides) under uncultured bacterium. RNAcentral's name for it is "partial 16S ribosomal RNA". It matches the Rfam family "Bacterial small subunit ribosomal RNA", at positions 88 to 354 of the family's 1533-position model. The record is from RNAcentral.
CAUUCGAGUGGCGGACGGGUGAGUAACGCGUGGGUAACCUGCCUUACACAGGGGGAUAACACCUGGAAACAGGUGCUAAUACCGCAUAAGCGCACAGGGCCGCAUGGCCCGGUGUGAAAAACUCCGGUGGUGUAAGAUGGACCCGCGUCUGAUUAGCUUGUUGGCGGGGUAGGGGCCCACCAAGGCGACGAUCAGUAGCCGGCCUGAGAGGGUGGACGGCCACAUUGGGACUGAGACACGGCCCAAACUCCUACGGAAGGCAGCAG